UCUUCCAUAACUUCUCUCCCCCGUGCGCCCCUGCCCUCCUCCGGCAGGUGUCUCGAUCCAUCAUACUUCCGGAAAAAGAGGAAAAGAUUUGGGCUUCUUGAGAAACACAAGGACUAUGUAGUUCGUGCAAAUAGGCAUGACAAUGGGACGGGGAUGAUAAGGUAAAGGACAUUCAAUAAGCACUUACUAGUAAAAGUCUGAUAAAUGGCCCCUAAGAUUUUAUCGUCUUUGUAAGGCAUGUUGUGAUGAGAGGGGAAUCACUCAUUUAAUGGAAUUUAUAUUAUAAAACGUAGCAGAGAUCAAAUCAAACAAACCUGAUAUAUUUCUAUACAAACUACUCAAUUCUAUAACGUGAGGCUUGCUUUCACAAACCUCAUUCAUUUGC
This is a long non-coding RNA of Cynara cardunculus var. scolymus (artichoke), 385 nucleotides long. RefSeq lists it as uncharacterized. NCBI's taxonomy places the organism in Eukaryota, Viridiplantae, Streptophyta, Magnoliopsida, Asterales, Asteraceae. The record is from RefSeq and is a predicted model, not a curated record. The transcript is spliced from 2 exons.